UUUUUUCCAGAGUGGUUAGCAAACCCGGUACUGGUGCUAAAGAAGAACAAGCAGUGGCGGAUGUGCAUUGACUACACAAGCCUCAAUAAAGCUUGCCCCAAGGACCCGUUUGCUCUGCCAAGAAUCGAUCAGGUGAUAGACUCCACAGCCGGAUGCGAGCUGUUGAGCUUCCUAGAUGCAUAUUCGGGAUAUCACCAGAUCAAGCUGAACUCGACUGACAGACUGAAGACCGCCUUCAUCAUGCCGUUUGGAGCCUUCUGCUACCUGACCAUGACGUUCGGCUUGAGAAAUGCCGGUGCCACCUUUCAGCAUUGCAUGCAGAAGUGCCUCCUGAAGCAACUCGGCAGAAACGCCCAUGUCUAUGUGGAUGAUGUAGUGGUGAAGACGGAGAAGCGUGGGACCUUGCUGGAGGACCUCAAGGAAACCUUCGAGAAUCUACGCCGAUUCCAGAUCAAGCUCAACCCAGAGAAGUGCGUCUUCGGAGUACCAGCCGGCCAGCUCCUCGGUUUCCUGGUCUCCGAAUGCGGCAUAGAGUGCAACCCUGUGAAGAUCAAGGCCAUCGAGAGGAUGGAAGCACCCAGACGACUGUUAGAUGUGCAAAAGUUCACCGGCUGUUUGGCAUCCAUCAGCCGAUUCAUCAGUCGGCUGGGCGAGAAGGCUCUCCCCUUGUAUCAGCUCAUGAAGAAGACGACCUUCUUUGAGUGGACUCCCAAGGCGGACGAGGCCUUUCUCCAACUAAAGAAGAUGUUUACUACUCCCCCUGUGCUGGCGGCUCCGACUCCCAAAGAGCCCAUGCUCCUAUACAUUGCCGCCACCAGUCGAGUAGUCAGCACAGUCAUGGUAGUCGAGCGCAAGGAGGAAGGCAAGGCGCUGCCUGUCCAGAGACCGGUAUAUUACCUGAGUGAAGUACUGUCGACCUCCAAGCAGAACUACCCCCAUUACCAGAAGAUGUGCUACGGCGUACAUUUUGCCGCCAAGAAAUUGAAGCCUUACUUCCAGGAGCAUCCAAUCACUGUGGUCUGCAUAGCCCCGCUGGCCGAGAUCAUCGGAAGCCGAGAUGCUUCUGGCCGAGUGGCCAAAUGGGCCAUUGACUUAGCUCCCUACACCAUCUACUACAAGCCCCGCACCGCCAUCAAGUCGCAGGCGCUGGCCGACUUCCUCGUCGACUGGGCCGAGACCCAGUACCUGCCGCCAGCACCUGACUCCACCCAUUGGCGGAUGCACUUUGACGGCUCCAAGAUGCUCACCGGCUUGGGGGCCGGCGUCAUCCUCACUUCCCCCAAGGGCGACAAGCUAAGAUAUGCACUGCAGAUCCACUUCGCCGCCUCCAACAACGUGGCCGAGUACGAGGCGCUCAUACACGGGCUCCGGCUUGCCAAAGAACUCGGCAUUCGCCGGAUCCUGUGUUAUGGC
This 1413-nucleotide ribosomal RNA is filed under the name Triticum aestivum (bread wheat). Its description in RNAcentral is "partial small subunit ribosomal RNA". The record is from RNAcentral. Lineage: Eukaryota; Viridiplantae; Streptophyta; Magnoliopsida; Poales; Poaceae.